RNAcentral lists this long non-coding RNA (926 nucleotides) under Marmota monax (woodchuck). The record is from RNAcentral. Lineage: Eukaryota; Metazoa; Chordata; Mammalia; Rodentia; Sciuridae.
GGAGCAGGUGCACAUGUGACAGGGAGGAGACAAAUACACAGGCAGACGGAGAGAGGACCGGCAGGGCUGAGAGGGAGCCCGUGCACCCGGAAGGUGCCCUCUUCCCUGCACAGAGCGGGGGAGGGGCGGGGAGCUGACAGCUGAGGCCCAUGGAUUCGGGGUGGGCUUGUUACUGAACCCCAGCAAGAGCAGAGACAGGGAGACGUCUGAAGAAGUUAACCACCAGAGUGACCUGAUGCUGGAGGUGGCCCGGGGAGGGACACAGGGGAUGGAGAGGUGCUUACAGGACCCUCCGGGCACCUUCCUGGGGUGGCACACACACAGGCACACACAGACCCAGCACAGGUAACCAGGGAGUGACAGGAUCUCCAGCUUGGGAGCCAGGGACAGUGUCUCAGGGUAGGUGUAGCCUAGCAUUGCAGGAUAUGGGGGUGACGUGAGGAUCCUCCAGCAUGACACCCCACAAGUGGGUGAACCAGAACCUGGGAAGGCCACAGGUGAGGAGACCCCAGGACAGGCCCCCAGGAGCCCCAGCAGGUUAGGGGCCGGCAGAGGAGGGGAAGGAGGCCUCUGAGAUACCAGACUCACAGGCACACAUACAGGUAUACACGGGUACACACACGGGUACACACAUGGGUACACACACGGGCAGACACACAGGUGCACACACAGGUGGACACACAGAGGGGCAGGGAGGCCCGGAAGAGGGAGAAGGCAAACCUGAGGUGGGGAGGGAGCAGGGAAGUAAGUGGCACGAGACAGAGUCAGACAUGGCACCUCUGGAAAAACUGAGAAGGAAGGAGAGAGGCCAAGAGAAAGAAAGAAGAGUGGGGGGAGCAGAGAGAGAGAGAGAGAGAGAGAGAGAGACAGCACGGGCACGUGAGCCACAGUCAGAGAGCAAAAGGAAGGGAGGGAACGAGGGUCAG